AUGAUCAAAGAGAUAAGGAAGCAAAGCGGCGUUUCAUGGGACGACCGGCAGUGCAGGAUUCUAGCGGAUCCACCACUUUGGAAAAACAUCAUCAUAUCACACCCUAAAGCUGGAAAGUUCAAGACAAAAGGCUUCCCUCUUUUUCAAGCUUUGGGAGAAUUGCAUGAUGGCCAAACUGCAGAAGGGACAUAUAACUUCACCUCUAUCGAGUCAUCACAUUGCUCAACCCAAUCAGAUCUCGAGAAUCUUGGAGGAGCUGGCAAGAAUCAAGGAGAAACAUCAGCUGAUGGUGAGAAUCUUGGAGGAGAAAGGGUGCAGAUCGAUGAAGAUGUUGAGGAGAAAUGGAGAAGAGAAAGAACCAAAGAGAAGGAGGGGGCGAAUGGUGAUGUGGCUGCAAUGAUGGAGAAGUACUUGGAAAUAAGGACGAAACAGGUGGACGAUGAGAGGAAUAAGCCAAGGGUCGUGGAUGAGUACUCUAUCAAAAACUGCAUUGAUCUGCUAAAAACAAUGGAGAUCACACUUGAAGAAGAAGUCAAGGCUUUCCGAGUCUUCAAGAUCCCCGAGAACCGAGAGAUUUUCAUGAGUGCCAGACCGGAGACUGCUCUUAUGUGGCUGAGAGCUGAAAUGGAAUAA
This 633-nucleotide ribosomal RNA is filed under the name Triticum aestivum (bread wheat). Its description in RNAcentral is "partial small subunit ribosomal RNA". Lineage: Eukaryota; Viridiplantae; Streptophyta; Magnoliopsida; Poales; Poaceae. The record is from RNAcentral.